Molecule: long non-coding RNA, 248 nt
Organism: Tachyglossus aculeatus (Australian echidna)
Lineage: Eukaryota; Metazoa; Chordata; Mammalia; Monotremata; Tachyglossidae
Exons: 2
Source: RefSeq, a predicted model, not a curated record
GGGCUCUCCCUGCCGAAAUGGGUCUGGCCUUUUCCGAGGGCCCUUCUCCCCGGUGGCCAGCCGGGCCGCUAAGCCACCCCACCGACCUCCACGGCAAAGAAACGAAGGACUGAAAACGGCAAGCCUCAGAGGGGACGUCUGAAGUAGGAAAUUCAAAAGUUUCCAGCAGAGCGACACCAGUCCCUAUUUUCAGAGAUGCAGACUCCACGGCACUUGAUAACUUCUUGCAGGUAACCUGGUUUUCCUUC